RNAcentral lists this ribosomal RNA (253 nucleotides) under uncultured bacterium. RNAcentral's name for it is "partial 16S ribosomal RNA". It matches the Rfam family "Bacterial small subunit ribosomal RNA", at positions 524 to 776 of the family's 1533-position model. The record is from RNAcentral.
UACAGAGGGGGCAAGCGUUGUUCGGAAUUACUGGGCGUUAAGGGCGCGUAGGCGGCCUUCUAAGUCGAACGUGAAAUCCCCGGGCUCAACCCGGGAACUGCGUCCGAUACUGGAAGGCUUGAAUCCGGGAGAGGGAUGCGGAAUUCCAGGUGUAGCGGUGAAAUGCGUAGAUAUCUGGAGGAACACCGGUGGCGAAGGCGGGUCUCUGGGCCGAUACUGACGCUGAGGAGCGAAAGCGUGGGGAGCGAACAGG